CUCGUCUGUGAGAGCAUUAAUAAAGAAUAUUUCUACUUCGCGUAUUUUUAUGUCUGAAAAUAUAAAUUUUCAAAUGAGUAGUGUUACCAUUGUUUACUACAUUUCCAAAAAAAAACCGUCUUCCAAGAAAUCGGGGAAAAGCAACCGCCGAGGACGGAUCAUUCUUCACGACGACAAUCCUGUCUCUCGCACAUCGACUGAAACAACUGAAUUUUUGAGCACUCAAACAUAGAUUUUAUGAGUAAGACGUCAACGUUUUUCGACACCUGAUGUGACGGUUGCUGCGUUCAGAAGGCAUAUUUUGAGGAUACCUCAAUUAAAUUGUCAAAGUGCUUUGAAAAGUGGUGAUAGCGAUUCGAUGAUUGAAAUUUGUUUUUUUCUAUAAUCCCGAAAUAUAACAAUUGACUUGUUCGACCUUGGGAAUUGUCACCGCAGGCUCUGCCAAAAAAAGGCCUCUAAGGGAAACAGCCACCCCUUAAAAACUAUUUGAUAUUUUUCCACGAAAUUUCGCACAAACAUUGUUAAUAAAGUGUACUAUCAGAAAAUAAAAACAUUCGUGUAAUGAAA
Long non-coding RNA from Bactrocera tryoni, 567 nucleotides. RefSeq lists it as uncharacterized. The record is from RefSeq and is a predicted model, not a curated record. The transcript is spliced from 2 exons. Lineage: Eukaryota; Metazoa; Arthropoda; Insecta; Diptera; Tephritidae.